CUCCGGGUGAUCCUGCCGGACCCGACUGCUAUCAGAGUGGGACUAAGCCAUGCGAGUCAACAUAGCAAUAUGUGGCAUACGGCUCAGUAACACGUAGUCAACAUGCCCAGGGGACGUGGAUAACCUCGGGAAACUGAGGAUAAACCGCGAUAAGUCACUACUUCUAGAAUGGGUAAUGACUCAAAUCUACAUGGCCCCUGGAUUGGACUGCGGCCGAUCAGGCUGUUGGUGAGGUAAUGGCCCACCAAACCUGUAACCGGUACGAGCUCUGAGAGGAGGAGCCCGGAGAUGGGCACUGAGACAAGGGCCCAGGCCCUAUGGGGCGCAGCAGGCGCGAAACCUCUGCAAUAGGCGAAAGCCUGACAGGGUUACUCUGAGUGAUUUCCGUUAAGGAGAUCUUUUGGCACCUCUAAAAAUGGUGCAGAAUAAGGGGUGGGCAAGUCUGGUGUCAGCCGCCGCGGUAAUACCAGCACCCCGAGUGGUCGGGACGUUUAUUGGGCCUAAAGCAUCCGUAGCCGGUUCUACAAGUCUUCCGUUAAAUCCACCUGCUUAACAGAUGGGCUGCGGAAGAUACUAUAGAGCUAGGAGGCGGGAGAGGCAAGCGGUACUCGAUGGGUAGGGGUAAAAUCCGUUGAUCCAUUGAAGACCACCAGUGGCGAAGGCGGCUUGCCAGAACGCGCUCGACGGUGAGGGAUGAAAGCUGGGGGAGCAAACCGGAUUAGAUACCCGGGUAGUCCCAGCUGUAAACGAUGCAGACUCGGUGAUGAGUUGGCUUCUUGCCAACUCAGUGCCGCAGGGAAGCCGUUAAGUUUGCAGCCUGGGGAGUACGGUCGCAAGACUGAAACUUAAAGGAAUUGGCGGGGGAACA
RNAcentral lists this ribosomal RNA (868 nucleotides) under uncultured archaeon. Its description in RNAcentral is "bacterial SSU rRNA". It matches the Rfam family "Archaeal small subunit ribosomal RNA", at positions 1 to 878 of the family's 1478-position model. The record is from RNAcentral.